CAUCCGCUUGAGUUGCGGUUGGUCCCCGUGGCGGUACGGCCAGUGGGUGUCUUUCCUGGGAAGGCGACCUUUGGAGGCCCUCUGACCCGAGGCCGGCAGGGACCGGAGGGCGAGGGAGCCCUGUCGGUUAGAGUGCAGUCCGCCGGCGCGGUUUUCUUGGCGCGCCUCCUGACACGGGGCGGGGAGAGUAGUGUUGCCUCGCGGGUGUGGACGCGUCGUCGUUUGUGGAGAAUGAGUGAUGACCUCUCUGAUGAAGUCUCCUGUCACCGUCACCGAAGGCAAAGGAACAGCUCAACUGACCUAAGGUAAGAGGAGAUGAGCACCAAUCUUGGCGGCCGGGCGGGGGCCAGGAGGCUACCGGGGAGA
Long non-coding RNA from Lutra lutra (Eurasian river otter), 366 nucleotides. RefSeq lists it as uncharacterized. Lineage: Eukaryota; Metazoa; Chordata; Mammalia; Carnivora; Mustelidae. The record is from RefSeq and is a predicted model, not a curated record. The transcript is spliced from 3 exons.